CUUGGCUGGACUGGAGGUUGGGGACAGUUGGAGGGUAGAGGAGCCGAUGCAGCUUCUCCAAGCUAGGCGGAGAUCCAAAGGAAACACAGCUGGAGACAGGAGAAGCAAGCCAGGUGACCCAGCUGACAUCCUGGGCAAAAACCCAGCUUGGCAUCCUAUGGCCACUGUCACCUGUGCUUACGUACUUGGACCAGGUAUUUCUUCCUGCUGCACCUCAGUUUCCCAACCUGCAGAACAGGGGCAAUACUAGCUCUCCCCAGGGGUCGAUGUGAGCAUUAACUGGGGUAAUAAACAGAGAAGUUGGGGGAAGCUGGGUGUAGUGGUGCACACCUGUAAUCUCGGCGAUUUGGGAGAAUUUGGGAGGCUAAGAGAGGAGGAUCACAAAUUCCAGGUCAGUCUGGGCAAUUUAGCUGUCUCAAAAUAAGAAAUAAAAACUCCCUCGGGGGCUGGGGUUGCGGCUCAGUGGUACAGCGCUCACCUAGCACGUCCGAGGCCCUGGGUUCCAUCCUCAGCACCACAUAAAAAUAAAUAAAGGUAUUGUGUCCAACUACAACUAACAACAACAACAAAAACUUCCUCAAAAAACAAAUCAAAGCAAAAACAAAAAACAAGAAAGAGCUGGAUGUGGGAUUACAUACCUGUAAUCCCAGUGGCCCAGGAGGCUGAGGCAGGAGGAUUGCAAGUUCAAGGCCAGCCUCAGCAAUUUAGUGAGGGCCUAAGCAAUUUACAAGACCCUGUCUGAAAAUAAAAUACAUUAAAAAUGGGGGGUGGGGGUGGGUGGAUGGGGAUUUUGCUCGGUGGUUAAGUGCCCUUGGGCUCAAUCCCCCAUACAAAAAAAAAAAAAAGACACAGAGUGGAUAGUUGAGAGCAUGGGCUCUGGAGCCAGACCAACUUGAGCUAAUUACUUAACCUCUCUGGUCUCAGUUGCCUCAUCUGGAAUCUGGGGGAUGAUGAUACUUACAGGAUGUUACCAGGUGUAAGUGAAUUAGGAUUUGCCAAAUACUUUCUGCUUGUUAACAACUGGCUAAGGCUAAUUAUCAGAAUCGUUAAUUGGGCCCUCUGGUACACCAUGAAGUAGUUCUAGCACUUUAUAUGCUUUAAUCACAUAAAAUCCUCACUUCUAGCUGGGUGUGUAGCUCACACCUGCAAUCCCAGUGGCUUGGGAGGUUGACGCAGGAGGAUUGCAAGUUCAAAGCCAGCCUCAGCAAUUUAGGGAGGCCUUCAGCACUUAGUGAAACCCUAUCUCUCAAUAAAAUAUAAAAAAGGCUGGGGUUGUGGCUCAGUGUUAAUCGCCCCUGGGUUUAAUCCAUGGUACCAAAAAACAAAACAAAACAAAAAAUCCUCACUGCUCCCCAGGACAGAUCAUCCCCGUUUACAGAGGUGGAAGCUGAAGCUCAGAACAGAUUGGCUUUUCUAUUUCCUCUAGAACAAGGGCUGGUGAACCAGGGCUGAGCAGGGACUCCAGCCAGCAGCCUGCUGUCUGAACACUCUGGAGUCGGCUUCCGAGACGCAGUGGUGGACUCAACAAAGCCCGAAAUAGGAACCAUCUGGUGCUUUACCGGAAAGCUUUGAAGAAGCAGGACUGGAACCACGUCUGUCUGGACCAAGCACUUAGUGCUUUCCUGCCUGGGUCUCCGUGGUGCGCCGAACUCACUCUAGUUGUAGAAAAGCAUCUUUCUUUCUUUCUUUCUUUCUUUCUUUCUUUCUUUCUUUCUUUCUCUCUCUCUCUCUCUCUCUUUCUUUCUUUCUUUCGCUGGCCAUGUUUUAUUUGUCCUUUUUCUUCAAACAGGACAGCCAAGAUACAGACGUACAGAGUAAAAUAAAAUAGAUGGACAGAUCCUAAGAGACUGCGAUGCACAGGCUACAUUCAACCUGAUUUUAUUCAUGCUUGCCUUUGGGUGGGGAAUAGAUCAUUCAGUAAAAACAUACAGUAAAAACAAACAAUGUCUUACCAUGUACAACUUUUAAACUACAAUAAUUAUGUACCUUAAUUACUUCCUGCACACAGGUCUAACAUUACAGUAUUUUUUA
RNAcentral lists this long non-coding RNA (2031 nucleotides) under Marmota monax (woodchuck). The record is from RNAcentral. Lineage: Eukaryota; Metazoa; Chordata; Mammalia; Rodentia; Sciuridae.